UGACCGAUAAAGAAGGAGAAGAGGCAGAAGAAGGAAAUCAUGGAAGUGAGUGAAGGUGAGAGAGACUGAUGCCUGACUCCUAACCAUUUCAAACUUUGGCACUGAAAUCCAUGGCGUUUAUCUUUUUUCUUUUAGAUUUUUGUUUUUUCGUGUAAAUGAAACGACACCCACUUCUUCUAUUCUGAUAACGACUUUUCUUCUCUUCGUAUUUACAUAUACCAUUUCUCACAUUGAUUUCACUUUUGCAUGAAUGGUGUAUUGCUACAAUUUCACCGGUUCCAUCGUUUGUUUCAAGAUUGUCCAUUUUGGGUAAAUGGAGGCGACUAUUAAAUCUACAAAUACAAACGGAUUAUGCACAUAUAGAACAAUUCAGAUCAUAUUGUUCAAAACUUAAUAAAGUCUAAGUUAAAAAACAACAUUAUAGUUUCGGUUUGAGUUCUC
Molecule: long non-coding RNA, 441 nt
Organism: Arabidopsis thaliana (thale cress)
Lineage: Eukaryota; Viridiplantae; Streptophyta; Magnoliopsida; Brassicales; Brassicaceae
Product: other RNA
Exons: 2
Source: RefSeq